Molecule: transfer RNA, 87 nt
Filed under: bacterium
Lineage: Bacteria
Also listed under: 4 other names
Description: tRNA-Ser
Rfam family: tRNA
About the family: Transfer RNA (tRNA) molecules are approximately 80 nucleotides in length. Their secondary structure includes four short double-helical elements and three loops (D, anti-codon, and T loops).
Source: RNAcentral
GGAGAGAUGCGAGAGUGGUUGAAUCGGGCGGUCUCGAAAACCGUUAAACCCGCGAGGGUUUCGGGGGUUCGAAUCCCCCUCUCUCCG